RNAcentral lists this transfer RNA (96 nucleotides) under Amycolatopsis lexingtonensis. RNAcentral's name for it is "tRNA-OTHER". Lineage: Bacteria; Bacillati; Actinomycetota; Actinomycetes; Pseudonocardiales; Pseudonocardiaceae. The record is from RNAcentral.
CCGUGAGGACAAAGUUGCAGGUAGAUGCCAUAGUCAACGCUGUUGCCUGCUCUCCUAAAGCGGGUGUCGCAGGUUCGAAUCCUGCCGGGGGCACCA